RNAcentral lists this ribosomal RNA (504 nucleotides) under uncultured bacterium. RNAcentral describes it as "bacterial SSU rRNA". It matches the Rfam family "Bacterial small subunit ribosomal RNA", at positions 25 to 518 of the family's 1533-position model. The record is from RNAcentral.
CAGGAUGAACGCUAGCUACAGGCUUAACACAUGCAAGUCGAGGGGCAGCAUGGUCUUAGCUUGCUAAGGCUGAUGGCGACCGGCGCACGGGUGAGUAACGCGUAUCCAACCUACCCCAUAGUAGGGGAUAGCCCGUAGAAAUGCGGAUUAAUACCCUAUGUUUUCCGAGGAGGACAUCUGACUUGGAACAAAGAUUCAUCGCUAUGGGAUGGGGAUGCGUCCGAUUAGCUUGUUGGCGGGUGACGGCCCACCAAGGCGACGAUCGGUAGGGGUUCUGAGAGGAAGGUCCCCCACACUGGUACUGAGACACGGACCAGACUCCUACGGGAGGCAGCAGUGAGGAAUAUUGGUCAAUGGGCGAGAGCCUGAACCAGCCAAGUAGCGUGCCAGGAAGACGGCCCUACGGGUUGUAAACUGCUUUUAUCAGGGGAUAAAGUGUGGGACGCGUCCCUCAUUGCAGGUACCUGAUGAAUAAGGACCGGCUAAUUCCGUGCCAGCAGCCGC